RNAcentral lists this non-coding RNA (31 nucleotides) under Mus musculus (house mouse). The record is from RNAcentral. Lineage: Eukaryota; Metazoa; Chordata; Mammalia; Rodentia; Muridae.
UGAAGAUAUGCCCCUUGGGGUCUCCGGGAGU